Molecule: long non-coding RNA, 541 nt
Filed under: Ananas comosus (pineapple)
Lineage: Eukaryota; Viridiplantae; Streptophyta; Magnoliopsida; Poales; Bromeliaceae
Description: long non-coding RNA (ACOM_LNC008530)
Source: RNAcentral
AUAUCUAUUUAGGGUAAACUUUAAAUAUUAUUCAUGUGAUUUCGUACUUUCUUACUUUAGUAUCAUUUGGUUUAAAGUGUAUCAAUUUAGUACCCUAUGGUUUCAUUUUUCUCUUUUCGCCAGCCCCUCUGUUAACUUUUCGUUAAAUCAUAUACAAAAAAGUUCACAUACCCUACCUAUAUAUAUAGUUCAUCGGAUAUUCACUUUACUACCCCUUAGUUUUAACUUUGUCAUUAAUUUAACAAAAAAAAUUAGUAGAUGGAAUAAUAAAAAGAAAAAAGUAAAACCACGGAAUACUAAAGUGAGAAAGUGCGAAACCACAGGGAUGGUAUUUGAAGUUUUUCGAUCCUAUAUUAUAUUCUUUUGGCGUCUUAUUUUUGAGAUAUUCAAUCUUUGUACUCUGUCUUCGGUAUUAAUAAAGUUUUUGCUCUGUCUUCGCCCGUGGACGUAGGCGGUUGGCCGAACCACAUAAUUUCAGUGUACUCAUUCCUUUUCUUUUCUUUUUUUGUGUUAAUUAUUUUUUCGCCGUUCCGAUUUUAAC